GGAUUAGAUACCCUGGUAGUCCACGCCGUAAACGAUGAUGACUAGGUGUUGGAGGAAUUGAUCCCUUCAGUACCGUAGUUCACAUGAUAAGUCAUCCGCCUGGGGAGUACGGCCGCAAGGCUAAAACUCAAAGGAAUUGACGGGGGCCCGCACAAGAGGUGGAGUAUGUGGUUUAAUUCGAAGCAACGCGCAGAACCUUACCUGGGUUUGACAUUUCUUGAAGUGUGCAGAAAUGCAUAGAUAGUCGCAAGACACAAGAGAACAGGUGCUGCAUGGCUGUCGUCAGCUCGUGCCG
This 295-nucleotide ribosomal RNA is filed under the name uncultured bacterium. RNAcentral describes it as "partial 16S ribosomal RNA". It matches the Rfam family "Bacterial small subunit ribosomal RNA", at positions 775 to 1067 of the family's 1533-position model. The record is from RNAcentral.